This 138-nucleotide small nucleolar RNA is filed under the name Microcebus murinus (gray mouse lemur). Lineage: Eukaryota; Metazoa; Chordata; Mammalia; Primates; Cheirogaleidae. The record is from RNAcentral.
UAGGCCCUGAAUUAGAACCAGUAAUUGGCUGUUGUAGCUGUUGGUUUCAAACAGGAGCCAAGAGCGAUGUCUUCCUUGUGGUCUGUUGGCUAUUUGAUAUUACUGUGUGAAUGGCCAAUUCGUUUGGAAGAAACAUAG